UGGCAUGUACAACCUUUUGACCCUGUGGC
RNAcentral lists this non-coding RNA (29 nucleotides) under Mus musculus (house mouse). The record is from RNAcentral. Lineage: Eukaryota; Metazoa; Chordata; Mammalia; Rodentia; Muridae.